Molecule: ribosomal RNA, 492 nt
Filed under: uncultured bacterium
Lineage: Bacteria
Description: partial 16S ribosomal RNA
Rfam family: Bacterial small subunit ribosomal RNA
Source: RNAcentral
AGUGAACGCUGGCGGUAGGCCUAACACAUGCAAGUCGAACGGCAGCACAGUAAGGGCUUGCUCUUACGGGUGGCGAGUGGCGGACGGGUGAGGAAUACAUCGGAAUCUACUUUUUCGUGGGCGAUAACGUAGGGAAACUUACGCUAAUACCGCAUACGACCUACGGGUGAAAGCAGGGGAUCUUCGGACCUUGCGCGAUUGAAUGAGCCGAUGUCGGAUUAGCUAGUUGGCGGGGUAAAGGCCCACCAAGGCGACGAUCCGUAGCUGGUCUGAGAGGAUGAUCAGCCACACUGGAACUGAGGCACGGUCCAGACUCCUACGGGAGGCAGCAGUGGGGAAUAUUGGACAAUGGGCGCAAGCCUGAUCCAGCCAUACCGCGUGGGUGAAGAAGGCCUUCGGGUUGUAAAGCCCUUUUGUUGGGAAAGAAAAGCAGCAGGUUAAUACCCCGCUGUUCUGACGGUACCCAAAGAAUAAGCACCGGCUAACUUCGUG